Molecule: long non-coding RNA, 334 nt
Filed under: Arabidopsis lyrata
Lineage: Eukaryota; Viridiplantae; Streptophyta; Magnoliopsida; Brassicales; Brassicaceae
Description: long non-coding RNA (ALYR_LNC002638)
Source: RNAcentral
AGAAAGAAAUAUUCAGACAGGAAAAGAAAAAAGAAACUGACCUGCAUAAUACUUUAGUAAUACGAGUAGAGUCUUCCCCAUUAGCUAUACUCUGAAGUAUAACAGAGCAAUUCAAAUUCCAGGAAUCGUCCUUUGAGCCUUUCAUGUACACAUAACACCUCGUCUUUUCAUUAGCAGCUCCAAUGGGGAACCUUAAUGGCUAAUAAGGGAAGUCGAAAACAUGAAACAUCAUACGAAAAUGUGCAAACCUUGAAUCACCAAAACUGCAAUUAAUGUUUCUUAUCUAAAGAGACUCAGAUAUUGAAAAUUCAGCCAUUGGAAAUCAAAUCAAAAC